AGAGUUUGAUCCUGGCUCAGGAUGAACGUUGGCGGUGUGCCUAAUACAUGCAAGUCGAACGGUGACCUAUUUGUAGCAAUACGAAUUUGUCAUAGUGGCGAACGGGUGAGUAACGCGUUGGUGAUCUGCCUCGAAGUGUGGAAUAACGUUCCGAAAGGAACGCUAAUACCGCAUGUGCUCUCAGUUUUUAGAAUGUUGAGAGUAAAGGAUUUAUUCGCUUCGAGAGGAGCCUGCGUCCCAUCAGCUAGUUGGUAGGGUAAUAGCCUACCAAGGCAAUGACGGGUAGGGGACCUGAGAGGGUGGCCCCCCACAAUGGAACUGAAACACGGUCCAUACACCUACGGGUGGCAGCAGUAGGGAAUAUUAGAAAUGGGCGAAAGCCUGAUCUAGCAACACCGCGUGUGCGAUGAAGGCCUUCGGGUUGUAAAGCACUUUUUGGAAGGAAUAGGAAGGAAGGUACUUCCAGAAUAAGUCUCGGCUAACUACGUGCCAGCAGCCGCGGUAACACGUAGGAGGCAAACGUUAUCCGGAUUUACUGGGCGUAAAGCGCGUGUAGGUGGUUCUGUAAGUAGGGCGUGAAAGCUCCCGGCUCAACUGGGAGAGGCCGUACUAAACUGCAGAGCUAGAGGAUGGUAGAGGGAGGUGGAAUUCCAGGUGUAGCGGUGGAAUGCGCAGAUAUCUGGAGGAACACCAGUGGCGAAGGCGGCCUCCUGGACCAUUCCUGACACUCAGACGCGAAAGCUAGGGUAGCAAACGGGAUUAGAGACCCCGGUAGUCCUAGCCCUAAACGAUGUAGACUAGACGUCGGCGGUGUAAUAGCUGUCGGUGUCCAAGCUAACGCGAUAAGUCUACCGCCUGGGGACUACGGCCGCAAG
RNAcentral lists this ribosomal RNA (875 nucleotides) under Anaerolineaceae bacterium UBA7644. RNAcentral's name for it is "bacterial SSU rRNA". It matches the Rfam family "Bacterial small subunit ribosomal RNA", at positions 8 to 892 of the family's 1533-position model. The record is from RNAcentral. Lineage: Bacteria; Bacillati; Chloroflexota; Anaerolineae; Anaerolineales; Anaerolineaceae.